Molecule: long non-coding RNA, 1053 nt
Organism: Daphnia magna
Lineage: Eukaryota; Metazoa; Arthropoda; Branchiopoda; Diplostraca; Daphniidae
Exons: 6
Source: RefSeq, a predicted model, not a curated record
UGUGCGUUUUGUUUGGUCACAGUCGCGUUUCCUCAGCGUUUCUGUUUACAGUUGGCUGAGAAUAUUAGUUUCUCCAAGGAAUUUCACAAGUGCUUUUUGUAUAACAUAUUGGUUGGUAAUGGGAAUAGAUGAGUUAAUGCCGAGUACAGUAGGUAGAGAGAAAUCAGUAUUCAAUUUUUGCAUUAUUUGUUUCAGUUUGUCUCUUUCAGGUUGGAAGUUUGGGCAGUGGAUAAUGAUGUGUUCAGAAACAUGAUAGGUGACAACUUGUUAUGCCCACUGCGAAGUCUAUGGAGUUUACGGUUGAUUGGAGUUGAAAAUAUCAGAUGCCAGGGGAGGGAACCCAUUUCUGUACGCAGCAUAGCAUUUAUCCUGUUUGAAGAGCUUUGUAUAGAGGUGAGAUUGGUAAGUGUGGCUUUGUUGAUGUUUUUUAUUAAUUUCUUGUAGGAUUUCUUCUACUGAGUUGUUGUUGUUCUCAUUUACAAGGGAGGAUGUGUGCCCAAGUUUGGCUAGGGAGUCAGCCCUUUCAUUUCCUGCAAUACCUACGUGGCUUGGGAUCCACAGUUUAAUUAUUUGUUUCUUAGAGCUUCUUAUAUCUUCUUGUUUUUGCAGGAUCUUGUUAAUUAGAACACUUUUGGUGGAUUUUGAACCUGUAGUCAAUUGGAGGGCAGAUAGAGAGUCACAUACUACUCCGUCGUUGUAGAGCUGCGAGCUUCGGUCAGUUUCCAGGAUUCUGCCAGAUGACGUUUUGGGCACCAUACACUAUAUCCGGCUACAUCUUGUAUAUGGUCAUGGGAACCGUCAGUGAAGAGGGUUCAAGAUGGCUUCCUUCUUGCUGAUGGCCAGUUUUUGGAAUGGAAAGUGCUUGAUUUCCCAUGGCGGAGGUUCCUUAGCAUAGUGUUGUGGACUAGGUCGUCUCCCAUGGUGGUAUUCUUCAGCUGGUUUAUGGCUUCCUGUAUUUCGGGCAAUCCUUAUCAGUGGAGCUAUGGUCUCUACUAUGACAAUUUAUACAGAACUCAUGAUGGUUGCAGUCUUCGUUCUGUAGAUGACCUUUGU